This 460-nucleotide ribosomal RNA is filed under the name uncultured bacterium. Its description in RNAcentral is "partial 16S ribosomal RNA". It matches the Rfam family "Bacterial small subunit ribosomal RNA", at positions 338 to 795 of the family's 1533-position model. The record is from RNAcentral.
CCUACGGGAGGCAGCAGUGAGGAAUAUUGGUCAAUGGACGAGAGUCUGAACCAGCCAAGUAGCGUGAAGGAUGACUGCCCUAUGGGUUGUAAACUUCUUUUAUAUGGGAAUAAAACAGGGUAUGCAUACCCUCUUGUAUGUACCAUAUGAAUAAGGAUCGGCGAACGCCGUGACAGCAGCCGCGGUAAUACGGAGGAUCCGAGCGUUAUCCGGAUUUAUUGGUUUUAAGGGGGGCGUAGGUGGAUGGUUAAGUCAGUUGUGAAAGUUUGCGGCUCAACCGUAAAAGUGCAGUUGAAACUGGCAGGCUUGAGUACAGUAGAGGUGGGCGGAAUGCGUGGUGUAGCGGUGAAAUGCUUAGAUAUCACGAAGAACUCCGAUUGCGAAGGCAGCUCACUGGACUGCAACUGACACUGAUGCUCGAAAGUGUGGGUAUCAAACAGGAUUAGAUACCCGUGUAGUC